ACCUGCCUGGCUCAGUUGGUAGAGCAUAGGACUUUUGAUCUUGUGGUCAUGAGUUCAGCCCCAUGUUAGGCA
This 72-nucleotide transfer RNA is filed under the name Canis lupus familiaris (dog). It matches the Rfam family "tRNA". Rfam says of the family: Transfer RNA (tRNA) molecules are approximately 80 nucleotides in length. Their secondary structure includes four short double-helical elements and three loops (D, anti-codon, and T loops). Further hydrogen bonds mediate the characteristic L-shaped molecular structure. tRNAs have two regions of fundamental functional importance: the anti-codon, which is responsible for specific mRNA codon recognition, and the 3' end, to which the tRNAs corresponding amino acid is attached (by aminoacyl-tRNA synthetases). tRNAs cope with the degeneracy of the genetic code in two manners: having more than one tRNA (with a specific anti-codon) for a particular amino acid; and 'wobble' base-pairing, i.e. permitting non-standard base-pairing at the 3rd anti-codon position. RNAcentral also lists the same sequence under 1 other name. Lineage: Eukaryota; Metazoa; Chordata; Mammalia; Carnivora; Canidae. The record is from Rfam by way of RNAcentral.